AUGGGCGGGAUUCAUAAGAAAGAGGGGAAAGAUGAAGCGGGAAGCAAGGUGAAAACCCGCUGAAUUUCGGUCACUUCGGCGCGAAUUUUGCAGAGCUCCUAGUCCUUCUCCUCAAGCUCGCGUCUCGAUUCCUCUACCAGAGAAGUUACUUACUGACCGCCAUAGCCUCUGCUCUCAAGUCAUUUACUUUUGAAAUUUGCGGAAAGAAAGACCUACUAGUGGAUUGAGAAAUGAAGUUUAAGGCAUAUCUGACUGAUAAUGGGGUAAAUCUCCUGGAGAAGAGAUUUCUACCUGCCCUAGACAAGAUGGGCAAAAUAUGCCAUCUCUAUUUGACAAGAGAAUAUGUCAUCUUCCUGCAUAAUCUCCUAAAUGGUGAUGGAAUUCAAUCAAUUGCUCAGUUUCGUAAAGAAGCUCUGUUUGAUGACUACCGAAUCUCCAGCCAGAACGAUGAUCGUAUUGCGUUUGCCAUAGACAUUUCGCUUCUCCACCGUGCAGUUCGUAGUAGUGUUAGCAUUUGUUCUGAGUUUGGUAAUGGUCCAACAGCGAAUCGACUCCAAAUUAAGUUGGUGAAGAAGUUGCCUCUGAAUUGCACCCAAUCAAUGCCUUUCCUUACAUUUGAGACUAAAGGUUACAAAUCUGCUGUCAUUCAGGAUGUACCAAUCUCAAAGCCUAUGUCAAGAGGUCAAGUUCUUGAACUUCAAACUGCUCUAGAUAUGGCACAGGAUUUGCCUCAGACGCUUGUGCAGGUUCCUGAUCUUAACCAGUUGCAGAACUUUGUGGAUCGAAUGAAGAAUGUUGGGGAUUUGCUGAAUGUCUCCAUAAGCAAGUAUGGAGAUUUACAUGUGCAGAUUUUCACAACGUUGAUCACUCUUGGUGCUGAGUAUCGAAAGUUAUUUGUUAUAGGGGAACAAGCAAAUGCUCCAGCUGAAGAUCAAAAUCUAAGUGCUCAGACUAGAUCAACCAGAGCAAUAUCGAGGGGGGAUGCUCAAUCUGUACAGGUGAGUGUGAAGCACUUUGCCAAGAGUCUUCAGUAUCACUUGGCCAAGCCAGAUUGCACUUUCUAUGGCAUUGCUCCUCAGGGCGCCUGCUUGACUGUGAUAUUUCAGUUCUUCAUUCCCGGCUCUCGGCAGACUGAUAAAUCAAUCAGUCUACAUUGCCGGCUUCCUGUUCUUGACCCUGGAACCAGUUGAAUUCUGAUUAACUUCUCUCAUUUGACGUUAUGAAUCUAUGUUAAUGCCAAAUUAAACAGCUAGAAAUAGACUAGAGAGGGAGGGCGGAGGUUGUUGAUUCAAGAACUCAACGCCAUCACCAGUAAUCUUUACACGAACAUAAACCAUGUUUGAAAUGGUGAAAUCUGGUUCUGUCCCUAACAAUUAC
Molecule: RNA transcript, 1377 nt
Organism: Cucurbita maxima (winter squash)
Lineage: Eukaryota; Viridiplantae; Streptophyta; Magnoliopsida; Cucurbitales; Cucurbitaceae
Exons: 3
Source: RefSeq, a predicted model, not a curated record